UUUUUUUAAGAACAAAUGUCUUCGGACUUCCUACAAUACCUUGUCUAUACUUGUAAAAAAAACCUCAAAAUAACGUGUUUGCUUUGAGCAGAACCUUUCAUGUGUCUUGUCAUGUCUUGUGACGGUUGAUGAAAAUGAAGAUGAUGAAGAUAAUGGUUGAUUUGGUAUCAAGCUUGUUGCACUGGUACACCCAAGUUAGGAGAGUGUUGGCGCACCCUUAGAGAAAAAAGUUAAACCCCGCCACAUUUUGUAUGUGUCAGUUUCAAGUCACGAGACGGUAAUGCAGUGUUUGUUUUUUUUUCUAUAUACUAUAUUUGUGUGUUUCUUAUUUAUUUUGUACAUUAAUCGGGCUGUUAGAUUUUUCGUUUGUUUUACAUUAUUUAUUUCGGGAAUUGAAGACUAUGCAGUAUGAAUUUUACUCAUUGUUGAAGGCCGUACGGGACCUAUAACUGUAAGUUAAUGUAUGUCUCAUUUGCAUUCAUAUCACAUCUUUCUUUUUUAUAUGGAAUACUUUUGAAGUUUGUGGUACGUUGCAAGGAAAAAAAGGGGGGAUAUAGGUACAAACCCUAUAAUGUAAUAGAUUUUAACCAAAGUAAAAUACACAACAACAGAUAAUACUAUGGAAGCAAUAAUAACUGUGAAAAACGCAAAAGCAACGAGUAGUCUAUAAGAAAACCUGAAGUAUCCACAAAUUCAAUUUUAGGUCAUAUUUGACUGUAGUGUUCUAUUGCUUUGGUUUGAUACCUCACCCAAUAUGAUAGUUUAAAAAAUAAUUUUAAAGUUUUGUCCUGCAUGACACUUGAUGUUUACCUGAAAUUGAAAUUUGUCAGAAGG
RNAcentral lists this long non-coding RNA (834 nucleotides) under Mytilus galloprovincialis (Mediterranean mussel). The record is from RNAcentral. Lineage: Eukaryota; Metazoa; Mollusca; Bivalvia; Mytilida; Mytilidae.